AUCCAGCUGACGAGUCCCAAAUAUGACGAAACGCACGUCGUGGAU
This is a non-coding RNA of Schistosoma mansoni, 45 nucleotides long. NCBI's taxonomy places the organism in Eukaryota, Metazoa, Platyhelminthes, Trematoda, Strigeidida, Schistosomatidae. The record is from Rfam.